UUCAUCGGGCCCGACACCCCCCUCAGCGCGUGGCCCUCGGUGUACAUCAAGGAGGAGCUCCUCGAACCGUCGGAUAACAACAACUCCAAUUCCCCGGAUCCCCUCAAGCCCAAACUCGAGCUCGGGGAGCCUCAUGACGACGGCGAUUCGGGCGUCACACACUCGGACCUUUCUGACGGAGAUACUCGUGUCGAAGUGUCCAGCUCUACCAACGGCGCCGUCGCGGUCAGCAACUCUCCUCCGCAACACGACUCCUUCCUCGCCCUUUGCGUCGACGGGAACAAUCAGCCGCAGGAAGUCUAUGGUGACAAUGGGCGCGUGACCCCCGUGGACCGCGACAUCAAGCUGUCCCCCGCCGCCCGCAACAGCCCCGAGUUCGUGUCCACCUACAUCCAGCAGCUCGACAGCUACCCCGCCACCC
This 421-nucleotide long non-coding RNA is filed under the name Penaeus japonicus. RNAcentral describes it as "uncharacterized LOC122247729". The record is from RNAcentral. Lineage: Eukaryota; Metazoa; Arthropoda; Malacostraca; Decapoda; Penaeidae.